This 303-nucleotide ribosomal RNA is filed under the name uncultured bacterium. RNAcentral's name for it is "partial 16S ribosomal RNA". It matches the Rfam family "Bacterial small subunit ribosomal RNA", at positions 507 to 807 of the family's 1533-position model. The record is from RNAcentral.
AGCAGCCGCCGCUGUAAUACGGAGGGUGCAAGCGUUAAUCGGAAUUACUGGGCGUAAAGCGCACGCAGGCGGUCUGACAAGUCAGAUGUGAAAUCCCCGGGCUUAACCUGGGAACUGCAUUUGAAACUGUCAGGCUGGAGUCUUGUAGAGGGGGGUAGAAUUCCAGGUGUAGCGGUGAAAUGCGUAGAGAUCUGGAGGAAUACCGGUGGCGAAGGCGGCCCCCUGGACAAAGACUGACGCUCAGGUGCGAAAGCGUGGGGAGCAAACAGGAUUAGAUACCCCUGUAGUCCCUGUCUCUUAUAC